AGAGUUUGAUUAUGGCUCAGGAUGAACGCUAGCUACAGGCUUAACACAUGCAAGUCGAGCGGAGCGACUUCGGUCAAUCAGCGGCAGACGGGUGAGUAACACGUAUCCAACCUUUCCCUUACUCGGGUAUAGCCUCGGGAAACUGAGAGUAAUCCCCGAUGAAGUGUACGAGGAGCAUUUUUUGCACACCAAAGAUUUAUCGGUGAGGGGUGGGGAUGCGUUCCAUUAGGUAGUAGGCGGGGCAACGGCCCACCUAGCCGAUGAUGGAUAGGGGUUCUGAGAGGAAGGUCCCCCACAUUGGAACUGAGACACGGUCCAAACUCCUACGGGAGGCAGCAGUGAGGAAUAUUGGUCAAUGGGCGAGAGCCUGAACCAGCCAAGUAGCGUGCAGGACGACGGCCCUAUGGGUUGUAAACUGCUUUUAUGCGGGGAUAAAGUUCACUACGUGUAGUGUUUUGUAGGUACCGCAUGAAUAAGGACCGGCUAAUUCCGUGCCAGCCGCAGC
RNAcentral lists this ribosomal RNA (505 nucleotides) under uncultured bacterium. RNAcentral's name for it is "bacterial SSU rRNA". It matches the Rfam family "Bacterial small subunit ribosomal RNA", at positions 8 to 518 of the family's 1533-position model. The record is from RNAcentral.